Long non-coding RNA from Gasterosteus aculeatus aculeatus (three-spined stickleback), 2650 nucleotides. Lineage: Eukaryota; Metazoa; Chordata; Actinopteri; Perciformes; Gasterosteidae. The record is from Ensembl.
UAUUUAGAAAAAAGGAAAGUCCGCACCGCGACCUUGAAUCGAAGCGAAGCCGCUCGCCAGACGGAGAGACGACCUCCUCCCGGGGGGGUCACGGCCCCGAGGGAGGAAGGGUGGAGGACGCCAGGAGGAGGAGUGUCAGGGGGGAGAUUGACAGGCGGUGAGUCGUGAAGGUCGGGAACCACCGCCGGUGAGUCUCCCUCCUCCUCCGUUUACCUGAGAGACGUCUUUGUCCCUCAUCCUGCAGCGAGUCCUCCGUCCCACCACAUAUUAGGACAUUUAAACUGGUGCCCAGUCUGCCUGAGCGGUUUGUCCCUCCGUAGCAACGGAGCACGAGCAGCGAGUCUGCGUCUGCGUCCCGACCAAGACGACAGCUUCUCUCUACUCGCGAUGGACCGAUUCCCCCGAUGAGCAGGACUUUUAUUUUGAAGAGAAACUGCUCAGAGGGAUUAAUGAGACACAUUGAGUGAAGCUGGAAGAGAGCAGCCGAGUGUGAUGGGAGACAAUUAGAGAGGACACGUCAACACACAUGAACAGACACCACGAUGGGCAACAGCCCGAGGACGUGUGUGUCUGUGUGUGUCUGUGUGUGUCUGUGUGUGGGGGGAGGCAGUAAGCAGAUGUGCAACAUCUCUCACAUGCAUGUUGACAAACACAGAUGAGGUUUGUUUGUGUGUUAAUCAGCAGGAGGAAGAUACGGACAGAGACAGACAGACAGAGACAGACAGACAGACAGACAGACAGGCAGACAGACAGAGACAGACAGACAGACAGACAGACAGAGACAGACAGACAGAAAGACAGACAGAGACAGACAGACAGACAGAGACAGACAGACAGACAGACAGACAGACGGACAGAGACAGACAGACAGACAGACAGACAGACAGACAGACAGACAGAGACAGAGACAGACAGACAGACAGACAGACAGACAGACAGACAGACAGACAGACAGACAGAGAGAGAGGACAUUGAUGUCCUUGUGGGACAGACAGUAACUUACGCUACAAAUAUGUCUGAAACUUUUGUCAAAGUGGAAAAGUAUGAGACAAAAACACGUCCAGUUACUCGCCGUGUUGCGCGACUCCGGCGGUUACAUGAAUGCGAGGAUUUUCAAAAUAAAACUCUAAAGCCACAAACGAAAAGCAAAAGCUGAGAAGAUUUAAAAACCUGUUAAUUGCUGAACUUUUGAGGUUUAUUUUUGGAAUCAUUUGAAAACCGCUUCACAGCUGUGACUUGUUAGCGGGUCCAGACGAGCACUGAAGAUCGUGCUGGCAGCCGAAAAUAUAAAAAUACUGAACAGUUCAAUCCCCAGAACAGCUCAUGGUUCAUAGCACGUAGCAUGUAGCACGUAGCACGUUGUGUGUUGCUGCACUGCGUGUCGAUGGCUGCAGUCCGGAUGACCUUGUCCUACUUGGUGAUUGGUGUCGCCUGAGGCAACAGCUGAUUGGCUGUCGAUAAGCUGUUAGCUCAGCAGAUAGAGGAAGAGGGGCGGGGCUAGUGGGACCAGGUCACAGAUCUGCCAUCAUUUGCUUUCUCCGAUCGAGUUCAAAGCCCAGGGGUAGCUUAGCAUAAAGAAACCGCUAGCCUAGCUUAGCUCAGGGAACAAUACACCAACCACCAGCAAGUGUGUUAGCCUCGUAGCUAACACACUUUAGCUUCUCCGAAAACAAAGAAUGUGUUUUUAGGGGUUAGAAACUCGUGUUGCGACUACGAUCUGUAAAGAAACAAGUAUGUAGCUGUGAUAGCUACUAUUGGCACAGCUCGCUAAAAAUGAAUGGCAGACGACAUCGUGCUAAGCUAAGCUAAUCCACGUCUUAUUAACCGCGCUGUUCACCAGCUGACGUGUUGCUGUAGACGUUCACAUUUUAACAAGCUGCAGAGUUCAACACUGUUGAUGUGGAAUCUGAUGAAUAUGCAACAAUAUUUAUGUGUGUGUGUGUGUGUGUGUGUGUGUGUGUGUGUGCGCGCUGAUUUGUUGCCUUUUAAAAGGGUCAUUCUGACACACACACACAUUAAAGUACCAACAAAUAAACACACACACUGACAUGGUGAUCAAUGAAUACGACAAAUACUCAACCUCUGCGACUCCAAGCAGGCUCGAGUGUAUAUUGUCUCUCACACACACACACACACACAGUCACGCACAGACACACACACACACACACACAGUCACGCACAGACACACACACACACACACAGUCACGCACAGACACACACACACACACUGGUUGUGGUGCGAUGGCAGGUUGCUUGAGGCUGCAUCCAGAAAUAAAGACAAUAGAAUAAACAGGAGGGGAAAACACGGUUUGUCACCUCGGGGCUGCCAAGCGCACAAUAUCUGGAGGACAGAAUGACACACAAGAGCCAUGUGUGUGUGUGUGUGUGUGUGUGUGUGUGUGUGUGUGUGUGCAGCGGAACAAUAAAUAAUAGUUAGGAGCGAAGCUGCGGUUUAAUGAAGGAGCUGCAUUCAUUCUUCAUUUAAAUAUGCAAAUCCAGCUGUUUCAUUUGGUUAACGAGGCCGUUUGUGUUCAGGUUUAAUUCUGUUACGUCCGACUCUUAAUUAAUAUUAAUACAUUUCAUUUAUAUGCAGUUUUUUUUAAAAGGGCUCAAGGCACUUUUACUUUCUUUCUUGCAUAUGCAUAUAUAU